AACGCUAGCUACAGGCUUAACACAUGCAAGUCGAGGGGCAGCAUGAACUUAGCUUGCUAAGUUUGAUGGCGACCGGCGCACGGGUGAGUAACGCGUAUCCAACCUUCCGUACACUCAGGGAUAGCCUUUCGAAAGAAAGAUUAAUACCUGAUGGUAUGAUGAGAUUGCAUGGUAACAUCAUUAAAGAUUUAUCGGUGUACGAUGGGGAUGCGUUCCAUUAGAUAGUAGGCGGGGUAACGGCCCACCUAGUCGACGAUGGAUAGGGGUUCUGAGAGGAAGGUCCCCCACAUUGGAACUGAGACACGGUCCAAACUCCUACGGGAGGCAGCAGUGAGGAAUAUUGGUCAAUGGGCGCGAGCCUGAACCAGCCAAGUAGCGUGAAGGAUGAAGGUCCUACGGAUUGUAAACUUCUUUUAUAAGGGAAUAAAGUCACCCACGUGUGGGUGUUUGUAUGUACCUUAUGAAUAAGCAUCGGCUAACUCCGUGCCAGCAGCCGCGGUAAUACGGAGGAUGCGAGCGUUAUCCGGAUUUAUUGGGUUUAAAGGGAGCGUAGACGGGUCGUUAAGUCAGCUGUGAAAGUUUGAGGCUCAACCUUAAAAUUGCAGUUGAUACUGGCGUCCUUGAGUACGGUUGAGGCAGGCGGAAUUCGUGGUGUAGCGGUGAAAUGCUUAGAUAUCACGAAGAACUCCGAUUG
RNAcentral lists this ribosomal RNA (694 nucleotides) under uncultured bacterium. RNAcentral describes it as "bacterial SSU rRNA". It matches the Rfam family "Bacterial small subunit ribosomal RNA", at positions 32 to 715 of the family's 1533-position model. The record is from RNAcentral.